Molecule: transfer RNA, 72 nt
Filed under: Fukomys damarensis (Damara mole-rat)
Lineage: Eukaryota; Metazoa; Chordata; Mammalia; Rodentia; Bathyergidae
Rfam family: tRNA
About the family: Transfer RNA (tRNA) molecules are approximately 80 nucleotides in length. Their secondary structure includes four short double-helical elements and three loops (D, anti-codon, and T loops).
Source: Rfam by way of RNAcentral
GGGAAUGUAGCUCAAUAGUAGAGCACUUGCCUCGCAUGUGUGGGGCUCUGGGUUUGAUCCCCAGCACUACAA